GUUUGCAUUGGCAGUACAUUUAUUAAAAUUUGAACAAUACACAGAAGAUUAGUAUGGGCUUUGUGCAAGGAUGUCGUGAAAACUUGUGAAAAGUGUUCUAUAUGUUU
Molecule: small nuclear RNA, 107 nt
Organism: Dromiciops gliroides (monito del monte)
Lineage: Eukaryota; Metazoa; Chordata; Mammalia; Microbiotheria; Microbiotheriidae
Source: RefSeq, a predicted model, not a curated record